CGGCACUAAUCAGCUUGGACUGGUUCAAACCAGUCUAGACCUCUUCCAAACAGUCUGAGCUAGUUCCAACCUGUCUGGGCCAGUUCAAAUUGGUCUGGGCAAGUUGGAACCCGCCUGGACCUUUUCCAAAUGCUUUGGGCUGGUUCCAACUGGCUUGGGCUGGAUCCAACUGGUAUGAAAUGAUUGCAACAGGUCUGGGCUGGUUCCAAGCGACAUAGACCUGUUCCAACCAGCCUGGACCUGUUGUAACCAGCUUGGUCCAGUUUCAAAUGACCUGGACCAGCUCCAACUGUCCUGGACCUGCUCCAAACUGUCUGGGCCAGUUCCAACCCACUUAGAACUGUUCAAUCCGACCAAGACCGGUUCAAACCUGCCUUGACCGAUUGAAACCGGUUUGGACCGGCACAAACCUAUCUAGACCUGUUAAAACCGGCCUAGACAGGUUCCAACCAGCUUGGACCUGUUUCAACCGAAUUGGACUGGUUCAAACCACCCUAGACCUGUUCCAACCAGUCUGGGCCAGUUCCAACUGGUCUGUGCAAAUUGAAAACCACCUGGGCCUUUCCCAACUGCUUUGGGCUGGUUCCAACCGGCAUGGACCAGACCCAACUGGUAUGAACUGGUUCCAACUGGGCUGCACUGGUCCCAAGCGAAAUAGUCCUGUACCAACCGGCCUGGACCUGUUCUAACCAGCUGGGCCAGUUUCAAAUGACCUGCACCUGCUCCAACUGGCCUGGACCUGCUCCAACCUAUCUGGGCCAGUUCCAACCCACUUGGAACUGCUCAAACUGGCUUGGGCCAUUUCAAACUGGCCUAGACCUGUUCAAAUGGGCCUAGACCGGUACAAACCAGCCAAGACCGGUUCAAACCGGCUUGGACUGGCACAAACUGGCUUAGACAGGUUCAAACGGGCCAAGACCGGUUUUAACUGGCUUGGACCUGUUUCAACCGACUUGGACCGGUUCAAACCAGCCCAGACCUGUUUCAACCAGUCUGAGGUCUAGGCUGGUUUGAACAGGCCCAAGCCAGUUUGAACAGUUCCAGACAGCUUCAAGCAGGUCCAGGCCGGUUGGAACAGGUGGAUGUCAUUUGAAACUUGCGCAAGCUGGUUAGAUUUGGCCUACCGGAAGGGCGUGGACUUAAUGUGGAACAUUUUCGAUGAUUUUGAUGAUCUGAGGAUUUCUUUCCCAAAUUAAGUCACAAUUUGGUCAUCACUGUUGGAAAGGUGCACUUGGAGGGACUGCCGAUGCUCUAUUGGUAUGAACAAAUCCAGAAAGAUUCUGGAACGCUCAGUGGCUCGAAGAGUGGCAGCGCUGGGGGGGGGGACAUUGACCACCCCAACAUCCAGUUCAGCAAGGUGACCCUCUACCACGAGGAUGGCGUGCAUCCUUCCACUGCGGGAAACGAUGUUUGGUUGGCUGACAGAUCUGCGGGGAUUAGGGAUUGGUUGCAGGUCUGAGGGUAUUGGCGGUGAGCUUUGCUCGAGUGGCGGUUAGGCAUUGGUAUGGGUAUUGUUAUGUAGAUGUAUGGGGGGGGGAGGAGCGCCAUCACCUCCCCCGGAUAUUGAAGGGUAGUCCGAUAAAGGAUUCUGGCGGGCAUGGCCCCGUCUGAAGCCUAUGGAGGCCACGGCCCAAGGCACGCCCCCGAGCAGUGACCCUGAGGGAGUGCCUAGUUGAUGUGCAUCAGCAGGGCUCCCCCUGCUGGUGUUAACCCUUCCGGAUUUUCAAGCAAGCAGGCUGAAGCCAGAUAGUCUGAUAGGUGGGAGGUGGGAACUCGUCACGCAACCUGGCUUGGCCAAUUCAGCUCACAAUGCGUUCUCAAAGUCUCUGGGGUCAGUUUGACACCAUAGUCCCCUGAGAAAGCCCUUUUGAAAUUUGCUAUCAUACAGCCUGGUGGAGUGCUUGAAUUACAAGCUGUUGAACACUCCCCCCGCAUCGCUAUGUCCCUUGUGAAGUGCUUCUCACCAGAUUCUCAGAGAUUAGCUUCCCUUUGUUCCCGAUCAAAAUGCAGUCACCUGAUUUGGAAAUGCGGUACUGAAAGGUCCACAUUCAGUGCCCUGGCACCCUGUUACCAUCAAUUCUGUUGGAACCAGUUCAGAUCAGUUGGAACCAGUCCAAGCCAGUUGGAACCAGCUGAAACCAAUUGGGAAAAGUCCAUGUGGGUUCCAACUCGCCCAGACCAGUUUGAACUGGCCCAGACUGGUUGGAACUGGCUCAGAUUGCUUGGAACAGGUCUAGGCUUGUUUGAACCGGUCCAGGUCGUUUGAAACAGGUCCAAGCCAGUUGGAACCGGUCUAGACCAGUAUGAACCGGUCUAGGCAGGUUUGAGCCAGUACAAGCCAGUUUGAACCGGUCUUGGCUGGUUUGAAAGCAGGCCUCAAGCCAGUUUGAGCAGUUCCAAGUGGCUUGGAAUUGGCCUGUUCAAACUGGCCUAGACCGGUACAAAACAGCCAAGACCAGUUCAAACCGGCUUGGACUGGCACAAACUGGCUUAGACCGGUUCAUACUGGCCUAGACCGGUUCCAACCGGCUUGGACCUGUUUCAACUGACCUGGACCGGUUCAAACCAGCCUAGACCUGUUUCAAGCAGUCUGAGGUCUAGGAUGGUUUGAAGAGGCUCAAGCAAGUUUGAACAGUUCCAGACAGCUUCAAGCAGGUCCAGGCCGGUUGGAACAGAUGGAUGUCAUUUGAAACUGGCCCAGGCUGGUUAGUUUUGGCCUACCGGAAGGGCGUGGACUUAAUGUGGAACAUUUUCGAUGAUUUUGAUGAUCUGAGGAUUUCUUUCCCAAAUUUAGUCAUAAUUUGGUCACCACUGUUGGAAAGGCGCACUUGGAGGGACUGCCGAUGUCCUAUUGCUAUAAACAAAUCCAGAAAGAUUCUGGAACGCUCAGUGGCUCGAAGAGUGGCAGCGCUGGGGGGGCGGGACAUUGACCAGCCCAACAUCCAGUUCAGCAAGGUGACCCUCUACCACGAGGAUGGCGUGCCUCUUUCCAAUGCGGGAAACAAUGUUUGGUUGGCUGACAUAUCUGCGGGGAUUAGGGAUUGAAUCAUAGAAUCAUAGAAUCAUAGAGUUGGAAGAGACCACAAGGGCCAUCGAGUCCAACCCCUGCCAAGCAGGAAACAGCAUCAGAGCACUCCUGACAUAUGGUUGUCAAGCCUCUGCUUAAAGACCUCCAAAGAAGGAGACUCCACCACACUCCUUGGCAGCAAAUUCCACUGUCGAACAGCUCUUACUGUCAGGAAGUUCUUCCUAAUGUUUAGGUGGAAUCUUCUUUCUUGUAGUUUGGAUCCAUUGAUUGGUUGCAGGUCUGUGGGUAUUGGCGGCGAGCUUUGCUCAAGUGGCGGUUAGGCAUUGGUAUGGGUAUUGUUAUGUAGAUGUUUGGGAGGAGGAGUGCCAUCACCUCCCCCGGAUAUUGAAGGGUAGUCCGAUAAAGGAUUCUGGGGAGCAUGGCCCCGUCUGAAGCCUAUGGAGGCCAGGGCUCAAGGCACCACCCCCCCCCCCCCGAGCAGUGACCCUGGGGGAGUGCCUAGUUGAUGUGCAUCAGCAGGGCUCCCCUGCUGGUGUUAACCCUUCCGGAUUUUCAAGCAAGCAGGCUGAAGCCGGAUAGUCAGAUAGGUGGGAGGUGGGAACUCGCCACGCAACCUGGCUUGGCCAAUUCAGCUCACAAUGCAUUCUCAAAGUCUCUGGGGUCAGUUUGACACCACAGUCCCCUGAGAAAGCCCUUUUGAAAUUUGCUAUCUUACAGCCUGGUGGAGUGCUUGAAUUACAAGCUGUUGAACACUCCCCCCGCAUUGCUAUGUCCCUUUUGAAGUGCUUCUCACCAGAUUCUCAGAGAUUCGCUUCCCUUUGUUCCCGAUCAAAAUGCAGUCACCUGAUUUGGAAAUGCGGUACUGAAAGGUCCACAUUCAGUGCCCUGGCGCCCUGUUACCAUCAAUUCUGUUGGAACCAGUUCAGAUCAGUUGGAACCAGUCCAAGCCAGUUGGAACCAGCUGAAACCAAUUGGGAAAAGUCCAUGCGGGUUCCAGCUUGCCCAGACCAGUUUGAACUGGCCGAGACUGGUUGGAACUGGCUCAGAUUGCUUGGAACAGGUCUAGCCUUGUUUGAACGGGUCCAGGUCGGUUGAAACAGGUCCAAGCCGGUUGGAACCGGUCUAGGCCAGUAUGAACCGGUCUAGGCAGGUUUGAGCCAGUACAAGCCAGUUUGAACCGGUCUUGGCUGGUUUGAAUAGGUCUAGGCCGGUUUGAAACGGCCCAAGCCAGUUUGAGCAGUUCCAAGUGGGUUGGAAUUGGCC
Molecule: long non-coding RNA, 4291 nt
Filed under: Podarcis lilfordi (Lilford's wall lizard)
Lineage: Eukaryota; Metazoa; Chordata; Lepidosauria; Squamata; Lacertidae
Source: RNAcentral